Molecule: ribosomal RNA, 494 nt
Filed under: uncultured bacterium
Lineage: Bacteria
Description: bacterial SSU rRNA
Rfam family: Bacterial small subunit ribosomal RNA
Source: RNAcentral
AGAGUUGAUCAUGGCUCAGGACGAACGCUGGCGGCGUGCCUAACACAUGCAAGUCGAGCGGAGAUAGGACUUCGGUUCUAUUCAGCGGCGGACGGGUGAGUAACGCGUGAACAAUCUGUCCUAUACAGGGGGAUAACACUUGGAAACAGGUGCUAAUACCGCAUAAGCCCACGGCCCGGCAUCGGGCAGGGGGAAAAGGGGCAACUCGGUAUAGGGUGAGUUCGCGUCCCAUUAGCUAGUUGGCGGGGUGAAGGCCCACCAAGGCGACGAUGGGUAGCCGACCUGAGAGGGUGAUCGGCCACACUGGAACUGAGAAACGGUCCAGACUCCUACGGGAGGCAGCAGUGGGGAAUAUUGGGCAAUGGGGGGAAACCCUGACCCAGCAACGCCGCGUGAGGGAAGAAGGCUUUCGGGUCGUAAACCUCUGUCCCAUGGGAAGAGCAGAAGACGGUACCAUGGGAGGAAGCCCCGGCUAACUACGUGCCAGCAGCCGC